This 508-nucleotide ribosomal RNA is filed under the name uncultured bacterium. RNAcentral describes it as "partial 16S ribosomal RNA". It matches the Rfam family "Bacterial small subunit ribosomal RNA", at positions 899 to 1397 of the family's 1533-position model. The record is from RNAcentral.
ACUCAAAUGAAUAGACGGGGGCUCACACAAGCGGUGGAGCAUGUGGCUUAAUUCGAAGCAACGCGAAGAACCUUAUCCUGGGCUUGACAUGGUCAAAGUAGAACUAUGAAAGUAGAACGACCGGUAUCCAAUCCGGAAUGAUCACAGGUGCUGCAUGGCUGUCGUCAGCUCGUGCUGUGAAGUGUCGGGUUAAGUCCCAUAACGAGCGAAACCCUUAUCGUUAGUUGCUAACAGGUCAAGCUGAGCACUCUAACGAGACUGCCGGUGUUAAACCGGAGGAAGGUGGGGAUGACGUCAAGUCCUCAUGGCCUUUAUGCCCAGGGCUGCACACGUGCUACAAUGCCGAUGACAAACCGAAGCAAGACCGUAAGGUGGAGCAAAUCGGAGAAAAAUCGGCCCAGUUCAGAUUGAGGGCUGCAACUCGCCCUCAUGAAGUUGGAAUCGCUAGUAAUCGUAGAUCAGCUAUGCUACGGUGAAUGUGUUCCUGAGCCUUGUACACACCGCCCGU